UACGAAGGGGGCUAGCGUUGUUCGGAAUUACUGGGCGUAAAGCGUACGUAGGCGGAUUGUUAAGUGAGGGGUGAAAUCCCGAGGCUCAACCACGGAACUGCCUCUCAUACUGGCAAUCUUGAGUCCGGGAGAGGUGAGUGGAACUCCUAGUGUAGAGGUGAAAUUCGUAGAUAUUAGGAAGAACACCAGUGGCGAAGGCGGCUCACUGGCCCGGAACUGACGCUGAGGUGCGAAAGCGUGGGGAG
This 245-nucleotide ribosomal RNA is filed under the name uncultured Kaistia sp. RNAcentral's name for it is "partial 16S ribosomal RNA". It matches the Rfam family "Bacterial small subunit ribosomal RNA", at positions 524 to 768 of the family's 1533-position model. The record is from RNAcentral. Lineage: Bacteria; Pseudomonadati; Pseudomonadota; Alphaproteobacteria; Hyphomicrobiales; Kaistiaceae.